Molecule: transfer RNA, 84 nt
Filed under: Fodinibius sp.
Lineage: Bacteria; Pseudomonadati; Balneolota; Balneolia; Balneolales; Balneolaceae
Also listed under: 1 other name
Description: tRNA-Leu
Rfam family: tRNA
About the family: Transfer RNA (tRNA) molecules are approximately 80 nucleotides in length. Their secondary structure includes four short double-helical elements and three loops (D, anti-codon, and T loops).
Source: RNAcentral
GCGAGAGUGGCGGAAUUGGUAGACGCGCUAGAUUUAGGAUCUAGUGCCUUUUAAGGCGUGGGGGUUCGAGUCCCCCCUCUCGUA